UGUUAUCUUACAUAAUCAAAACUUCCUGGAUUAGAAACCAUUGGUGCAAUAUCAAUAUGUAUUUAUUUUGCAAUGCAUUACUUGUUAUUGAAUUCAUUUCCUUUUUUUCUUCUCUUUCUUAUAUCAAAGGUCGGGAAAUCUGCAUUCUGAACAGAACGCUUACAGGGUCUGUCUCCUGUUGUACUAAUUAUUACAAAGACGAAGAUGGAAACUGUAAUUUAUGUGCGCCAGGAUACUUUGGGGAUACAUGUUUCAAUAUUUGUCCACGUGGUACAUUUGGUGCGGGCUGUGCAGAAAAGUGUACUUGUUCCCUCGAGGAUUGUAACCACGUGACAGGGUGUACCCGUAUAA
Saccostrea cuccullata (small rock oyster) is the source of this 351-nucleotide long non-coding RNA. RefSeq lists it as uncharacterized. NCBI's taxonomy places the organism in Eukaryota, Metazoa, Mollusca, Bivalvia, Ostreida, Ostreidae. The record is from RefSeq and is a predicted model, not a curated record. The transcript has 3 exons.